UAUUAAAAAUUUCAUCCAUUUGUACUGUUAAAAACUGACGUGGCUGAUGGAAUAACCAAACAGUGACACAUGAUGUGCCACGUGUACCUCAUGUUACAAUGAUCAGUUUUUAACAAUAAAAAUAGAUAAAAUUUUAACA
Non-coding RNA from Gossypium hirsutum (cotton), 139 nucleotides. NCBI's taxonomy places the organism in Eukaryota, Viridiplantae, Streptophyta, Magnoliopsida, Malvales, Malvaceae. The record is from Rfam.